This 405-nucleotide ribosomal RNA is filed under the name Bigelowiella natans. Its description in RNAcentral is "partial Bacterial small subunit ribosomal RNA". It matches the Rfam family "Bacterial small subunit ribosomal RNA", at positions 9 to 517 of the family's 1533-position model. The record is from RNAcentral. Lineage: Eukaryota; Cercozoa; Chlorarachniophyceae.
CGGGUUUGAUCCUGGCUCAGAGUGAACGCUAGGGGUACGCAUAACACAUGCGAGUCAACGUAUCGUGGCGAACGGGUGAGUACAGCAGGCAAUUACGCCCGGUAGCUCAGAAUAAAUUCUGGAUAAAAAGAUUAAUCGUUGCCGGAUAUGUCUGUGUAGGAUUAGAUAAUCGUAGAGAGUCGAUGAUCCUUAGUUGAUCUGGGAAGGAUGCACAGCCACAUUGGAACUGAGACAAGGUCCAAGCUCCAGUAGGAGGCAGCAGUGAGGAAUAUUGGGCAAUGGGCGAAAGCCUGACCCAACGAUACCCCGUGAUUGAAGAAGACCAAGGUCGUAAAGGUACGCGGUCAGUAAAGAUUACGACGGUAACUGGCCAAAAAGCCCCGGCUAACUCCGUGCCAGCAGCCG